RNAcentral lists this ribosomal RNA (497 nucleotides) under uncultured bacterium. RNAcentral's name for it is "partial 16S ribosomal RNA". It matches the Rfam family "Bacterial small subunit ribosomal RNA", at positions 28 to 507 of the family's 1533-position model. The record is from RNAcentral.
GAUGAACGCUGGCGGCGUGCCUAAUACAUGCAAGUCGAGCGAACAGACGAGGAGCUUGCUCCUCUGACGUUAGCGGCGGAAGGGUGAGUAACACGUGGAUAACCUACCUAUAAGACUGGGAUAACUUCGGGAAACCGGAGCUAAUACCGGAUAAUAUAUUGAACCGCAUGGUUCAAUAGUGAAAGACGGUUUUGCUGUCACUUAUAGAUGGAUCCGCGCCGCAUUAGCUAGUUGGUAAGGUAACGGCUUACCAAGGCAACGAUGCGUAGCCGACCUGAGAGGAUGAUCGGCCACACUGGAACUGAGACACGGUCCAGACUCCUACGGGAGGCAGCAGUAGGGAAUCUUCCGCAAUGGGCGAAAGCCUGACGGAGCAACGCCGCGUGAGUGAUGAAGGUCUUCGGAUCGUAAACCUCUGUUAUUAGGGAAGAACAAAUGUGUAAGUAACUAUGCACGUCUUGACGGUACCUAAUCAGAAAGCCACGGCUAACUACGUG